UAGGGAAUCUUCGGCAAUGGGGGCAACCCUGACCGAGCAACACCGCGUGAGUGAAGAAGGGUUUCGGCUCGUAAAGCUCUGUUGUUAAAGAAGAACACGUAUGAGAGUAACUGUUCAUACGUUGACGGUAUUUAACCAGAAAGUCACGGCUAACUACGUGCUAG
Molecule: ribosomal RNA, 164 nt
Filed under: uncultured bacterium
Lineage: Bacteria
Description: partial 16S rRNA
Rfam family: Bacterial small subunit ribosomal RNA
Source: RNAcentral